Molecule: ribosomal RNA, 301 nt
Filed under: uncultured bacterium
Lineage: Bacteria
Description: bacterial SSU rRNA
Rfam family: Bacterial small subunit ribosomal RNA
Source: RNAcentral
CCUACGGGACGCAGCAGUGGGGAAUAUUGGUCAAUGGCCGGAAGGCUGAACCAGUCAUGCCGCGUGAAGGUCAGUGCCCUAUGGGCGUUGAACUUCUUUUGUGCGGGAGCAAUAAUGGUCACGUGUGGCCAGACGAGAGUACCGUACGAAUAAGCAUCGGCUAACUCCGUGCCAGCAGCCGCGGUAAUACGUAGGGGGCAAGCGUUAUCCGGAUUUACUGGGUGUAAAGGGGGCGCAGACGGCGAUGCAAGCCAGGAGUGAAAGCCCGGGGCCCAACCCCGGGACUGCUCUUGGAACUGCG